Molecule: non-coding RNA, 30 nt
Filed under: Homo sapiens (human)
Lineage: Eukaryota; Metazoa; Chordata; Mammalia; Primates; Hominidae
Source: RNAcentral
UGUGCUUUCUGGGACCAAAGAAUGGGCACC